CAUAUCAUUUUGAAAUACUGGUUCUUGUUUGAUCACUGAAGUUAAGCAAUGUCGAGCCUUGUCAGUACUUAGAUGAGUGACUGCUUGGGAAUACCAGGUGCU
Acanthosepion pharaonis is the source of this 102-nucleotide non-coding RNA. Lineage: Eukaryota; Metazoa; Mollusca; Cephalopoda; Sepiida; Sepiidae. The record is from the annotation of a GenBank genome assembly.